AUUGAACGCUGGCGGCAUGCCUUACACAUGCAAGUCGAACGGUAACAGGUCUUCGGAUGCUGACGAGUGGCGAACGGGUGAGUAAUACAUCGGAACGUGCCCGAUCGUGGGGGAUAACGAAGCGAAAGCUUUGCUAAUACCGCAUACGAUCUACGGAUGAAAGCAGGGGACCGCAAGGCAUCGCGCGAACGGAGCGGCCGAUGGCAGAUUAGGUAGUUGGUGGGAUAAAAGCUUACCAAGCCGACGAUCUGUAGCUGGUCUGAGAGGACGACCAGCCACACUGGGACUGAGACACGGCCCAGACUCCUACGGGAGGCAGCAGUGGGGAAUUUUGGACAAUGGGCGAAAGCCUGAUCCAGCCAUGCCGCGUGCAGGAUGAAGGCCUUCGGGUUGUAAACUGCUUUUGUACGGAACGAAAAGACUCUGGUUAAUACCUGGGGUCCAUGACGGUACCGUAAGAAUAAGCACCGGCUAACUACGUG
Molecule: ribosomal RNA, 482 nt
Filed under: uncultured bacterium
Lineage: Bacteria
Description: partial 16S ribosomal RNA
Rfam family: Bacterial small subunit ribosomal RNA
Source: RNAcentral